GUUAAGCGACUAAGCGUACACGGUGGAUGCCCUGGCAGUCAGAGGCGAUGAAGGACGUGCUAAUCUGCGAUAAGCGUCGGUAAGGUGAUAUGAACCGUUAUAACCGGCGAUUUCCGAAUGGGGAAACCCAGUGUGUUUCGACACACUAUCAUUAACUGAAUCCAUAGGUUAAUGAGGCGAACCGGGGGAACUGAAACAUCUAAGUACCCCGAGGAAAAGAAAUCAACCGAGAUUCCCCCAGUAGCGGCGAGCGAACGGGGAGCAGCCCAGAGCCUGAAUCAGUAUGUGUGUUAGUGGAAGCGUCUGGAAAGGCGCGCGAUACAGGGUGACAGCCCCGUACACAAAAAUGCACAUGCUGUGAGCUCGAUGAGUAGGGCGGGACACGUGGUAUCCUGUCUGAAUAUGGGGGGACCAUCCUCCAAGGCUAAAUACUCCUGACUGACCGAUAGUGAACCAGUACCGUGAGGGAAAGGCGAAAAGAACCCCGGCGAGGGGAGUGAAAAAGAACCUGAAACCGUGUACGUACAAGCAGUGGGAGCACAGAGCAAUCUGUGUGACUGCGUACCUUUUGUAUAAUGGGUCAGCGACUUAUAUUCUGUAGCAAGGUUAACCGAAUAGGGGAGCCGAAGGGAAACCGAGUCUUAACUGGGCGUUAAGUUGCAGGGUAUAGACCCGAAACCCGGUGAUCUAGCCAUGGGCAGGUUGAAGGUUGGGUAACACUAACUGGAGGACCGAACCGACUAAUGUUGAAAAAUUAGCGGAUGACUUGUGGCUGGGGGUGAAAGGCCAAUCAAACCGGGAGAUAGCUGGUUCUCCCCGAAAGCUAUUUAGGUAGCGCCUCGUGAAUUCAUCUCCGGGGGUAGAGCACUGUUUCGGCAAGGGGGUCAUCCCGACUUACCAACCCGAUGCAAACUGCGAAUACCGGAGAAUGUUAUCACGGGAGACACACGGCGGGUGCUAACGUCCGUCGUGAAGAGGGAAACAACCCAGACCGCCAGCUAAGGUCCCAAAGUCAUGGUUAAGUGGGAAACGAUGUGGGAAGGCCCAGACAGCCAGGAUGUUGGCUUAGAAGCAGCCAUCAUUUAAAGAAAGCGUAAUAGCUCACUGGUCGAGUCGGCCUGCGCGGAAGAUGUAACGGGGCUAAACCAUGCACCGAAGCUGCGGCAGCGACGCUGAUGCGUUGUUGGGUAGGGGAGCGUUCUGUAAGCCUGCGAAGGUGUGCUGUGAGGCAUGCUGGAGGUAUCAGAAGUGCGAAUGCUGACAUAAGUAACGAUAAAGCGGGUGAAAAGCCCGCUCGCCGGAAGACCAAGGGUUCCUGUCCAACGUUAAUCGGGGCAGGGUGAGUCGACCCCUAAGGCGAGGCCGAAAGGCGUAGUCGAUGGGAAACAGGUUAAUAUUCCUGUACUUGGUGUUACUGCGAAGGGGGGACGGAGAAGGCUAUGUUGGCCGGGCGACGGUUGUCCCGGUUUAAGCGUGUAGGCUGGUUUUCCAGGCAAAUCCGGAAAAUCAAGGCUGAGGCGUGAUGACGAGGCACUACGGUGCUGAAGCAACAAAUGCCCUGCUUCCAGGAAAAGCCUCUAAGCAUCAGGUAACAUCAAAUCGUACCCCAAACCGACACAGGUGGUCAGGUAGAGAAUACCAAGGCGCUUGAGAGAACUCGGGUGAAGGAACUAGGCAAAAUGGUGCCGUAACUUCGGGAGAAGGCACGCUGAUAUGUAGGUGAAGUCCCUCGCGGAUGGAGCUGAAAUCAGUCGAAGAUACCAGCUGGCUGCAACUGUUUAUUAAAAACACAGCACUGUGCAAACACGAAAGUGGACGUAUACGGUGUGACGCCUGCCCGGUGCCGGAAGGUUAAUUGAUGGGGUUAGCGCAAGCGAAGCUCUUGAUCGAAGCCCCGGUAAACGGCGGCCGUAACUAUAACGGUCCUAAGGUAGCGAAAUUCCUUGUCGGGUAAGUUCCGACCUGCACGAAUGGCGUAAUGAUGGCCAGGCUGUCUCCACCCGAGACUCAGUGAAAUUGAACUCGCUGUGAAGAUGCAGUGUACCCGCGGCAAGACGGAAAGACCCCGUGAACCUUUACUAUAGCUUGACACUGAACAUUGAGCCUUGAUGUGUAGGAUAGGUGGGAGGCUUUGAAGUGUGGACGCCAGUCUGCAUGGAGCCGACCUUGAAAUACCACCCUUUAAUGUUUGAUGUUCUAACGUUGACCCGUAAUCCGGGUUGCGGACAGUGUCUGGUGGGUAGUUUGACUGGGGCGGUCUCCUCCUAAAGAGUAACGGAGGAGCACGAAGGUUGGCUAAUCCUGGUCGGACAUCAGGAGGUUAGUGCAAUGGCAUAAGCCAGCUUGACUGCGAGCGUGACGGCGCGAGCAGGUGCGAAAGCAGGUCAUAGUGAUCCGGUGGUUCUGAAUGGAAGGGCCAUCGCUCAACGGAUAAAAGGUACUCCGGGGAUAACAGGCUGAUACCGCCCAAGAGUUCAUAUCGACGGCGGUGUUUGGCACCUCGAUGUCGGCUCAUCACAUCCUGGGGCUGAAGUAGGUCCCAAGGGUAUGGCUGUUCGCCAUUUAAAGUGGUACGCGAGCUGGGUUUAGAACGUCGUGAGACAGUUCGGUCCCUAUCUGCCGUGGGCGCUGGAGAACUGAGGGGGGCUGCUCCUAGUACGAGAGGACCGGAGUGGACGCAUCACUGGUGUUCGGGUUGUCAUGCCAAUGGCACUGCCCGGUAGCUAAAUGCGGAAGAGAUAAGUGCUGAAAGCAUCUAAGCACGAAACUUGCC
Molecule: ribosomal RNA, 2773 nt
Filed under: Escherichia coli
Lineage: Bacteria; Pseudomonadati; Pseudomonadota; Gammaproteobacteria; Enterobacterales; Enterobacteriaceae
Description: partial 23S ribosomal RNA
Rfam family: Bacterial large subunit ribosomal RNA
Source: RNAcentral